CGGGGUGCAGCAGGCGCGAAAACUUUGCAAUGCGGGAAACCGUGACAAGGGAACUCUGAGUGCCCGUAAAAUCGGGCUGUCCAUCGGUUUAAAUAACCGGUGAAGAAAGGGCCGGGCAAGACCGGUGCCAGCCGCCGCGGUAAUACCGGCGGCUCGAGUGGUGGCCACUAUUACUGGGCUUAAAGCGUUCGUAGCUGGUUUGUUAAGUCUCUGGGGAAAUCUUCCGGCUUAACCGGAAGGCGUUUCAGGGAUACUGGCAGACUAGGGACCGGGAGAGGUGAGAGGUACUCCAGGGGUAGGAGUGAAAUCCUGUAAUCCUUGGGGGACCACCUGUGGCGAAGGCGUCUCACCAGAACGGCUCCGACAGUGAGGGACGAAAGCUGGGGGAGCAAACCGGAUUAGAUACCCGGGUAGUCCCAGCCGUAAACGAUGCGCGUUAGGUGUAUCGGUGACCACGAGUCACCGAGGUGCCGAAGAGAAAUCGUGAAACGUGCCGCCUGGGAAGUACGGUCGCAAGGCUGAAACUUAAAGGAAUUGGCGGGGGAGCACAAGGGCGAAUGCG
RNAcentral lists this ribosomal RNA (562 nucleotides) under uncultured archaeon. RNAcentral's name for it is "bacterial SSU rRNA". It matches the Rfam family "Archaeal small subunit ribosomal RNA", at positions 326 to 892 of the family's 1478-position model. The record is from RNAcentral.